UGGGGAAUAUUGGACAAUGGGGGGAACCCUGACCCAGCCAUGCCGCGUGUGUGAAGAAGGCCUUAUGGUUGUAAAGCACUUUAAGCGAGGAGGAGGGUACUGGUAUUAAUACUACCAGGUACUGGACGUUACUCGCAGAAUAAGCACCGGCUAACUCUGUGCCAGCAGCCGCGGUAAUACAGAGGGUGCAAGCGUUAAUCGGAAUUACUGGGCGUAAAGCGCGCGUAGGUGGUUCGUUAAGUUGAAUGUGAAAGCCCCGGGCUCAACCUGGGAACUGCAUCCAAAACUGGCGAGCUAGAGUAGGGCAGAGGGUGGUGGAAUUUCCUGUGUAGCGGUGAAAUGCGUAGAUAUAGGAAGGAACACCAGUGGCGAAGGCGACCACCUGGGCUCAUACUGACACUGAGGUGCGAAAGCGUGGGGAGCAAACAGG
This 430-nucleotide ribosomal RNA is filed under the name Pseudomonadota bacterium. RNAcentral describes it as "Proteobacteria bacterium partial 16S ribosomal RNA". It matches the Rfam family "Bacterial small subunit ribosomal RNA", at positions 355 to 776 of the family's 1533-position model. The record is from RNAcentral. Lineage: Bacteria; Pseudomonadati; Pseudomonadota.